AGCUGAGGUGUGAGCAGCUGCCGAAGUCAGUUCCUUGUGGAGCCGGAGCUGGGCGCGGAUUCGCCGAGGCACCGAGGCACUCAGAGGAGGUGAGAGAGCGGCGGCAGACAACAGGGGACCCCGGGCCGGCGGCCCAGAGCCGAGCCAAGCGUGCCCGCGUGUGUCCCUGCGUGUCCGCGAGGAUGCGUGUUCGCGGGUGUGUGCUGCGUUCACAGGUGUUUCUGCGGCAGAUUUCUACCACUCCAAACGCCGGCUGAUCUUCUCCAAGAGGAAGCCCUAAUCCGCCCACAGGAAGCCUGCAGUCCUGGAAGCGCGAGGGCCUCAAAGGCCCGCUCUACAUCUUCUGCCUUAGUCUCAGUUUGUGUGUCUUAAUUAUUAUUUGUGUUUUAAUUUAAACACCUCCUCAUGUACAUACCCUGGCCGCCCCCUGCCCCCCAGCCUCUGGCAUUAGAAUUAUUUAAACAAAAACUAGGCGGUUGAAUGAGAGGUUCCUAAGAGUGCUGGGCAUUUUUAUUUUAUGAAAUACUAUUUAAAGCCUCCUCAUCCCGUGUUCUCCUUUUCCUCUCUCCCGGAGGUUGGGUGGGCCGGCUUCAUGCCAGCUACUUCCUCCUCCCCACUUGUCCGCUGGGUGGUACCCUCUGGAGGGGUGUGGCUCCUUCCCAUCGCUGUCACAGGCGGUUAUGAAAUUCACCCCCUUUCCUGGACACUCAGACCUGAAUUCUUUUUCAUUUGAGAAGUAAACAGAUGGCACUUUGAAGGGGCCUCACCGAGUGGGGGCAUCAUCAAAAACUUUGGAGUCCCCUCACCUCCUCUAAGGUUGGGCAGGGUGACCCUGAAGUGAGCACAGCCUAGGGCUGAGCUGGGGACCUGGUACCCUCCUGGCUCUUGAUACCCCCCUCUGUCUUGUGAAGGCAGGGGGAAGGUGGGGUCCUGGAGCAGACCACCCCGCCUGCCCUCAUGGCCCCUCUGACCUGCACUGGGGAGCCCGUCUCAGUGUUGAGCCUUUUCCCUCUUUGGCUCCCCUGUACCUUUUGAGGAGCCCCAGCUACCCUUUUUCUCCAGCUGGGCUCUGCAAUUCCCCUCUGCUGCUGUCCCUCCCCCUUGUCCUUUCCCUUCAGUACCCUCUCAGCUCCAGGUGGCUCUGAGGUGCCUGUCCCACCCCCACCCCCAGCUCAAUGGACUGGAAGGGGAAGGGACACACAAGAAGAAGGGCACCCUAGUUCUACCUCAGGCAGCUCAAGCAGCGACCGCCCCCUCCUCUAGCUGUGGGGGUGAGGGUCCCAUGUGGUGGCACAGGCCCCCUUGAGUGGGGUUAUCUCUGUGUUAGGGGUAUAUGAUGGGGGAGUAGAUCUUUCUAGGAGGGAGACACUGGCCCCUCAAAUCGUCCAGCGACCUUCCUCAUCCACCCCAUCCCUCCCCAGUUCAUUGCACUUUGAUUAGCAGCGGAACAAGGAGUCAGACAUUUUAAGAUGGUGGCAGUAGAGGCUAUGGACAGGGCAUGCCACGUGGGCUCAUAUGGGGCUGGGAGUAGUUGUCUUUCCUGGCACUAACGUUGAGCCCCUGGAGGCACUGAAGUGCUUAGUGUACUUGGAGUAUUGGGGUCUGACCCCAAACACCUUCCAGCUCCUGUAACAUACUGGCCUGGACUGUUUUCUCUCGGCUCCCCAUGUGUCCUGGUUCCCGUUUCUCCACCUAGACUGUAAACCUCUCGAGGGCAGGGACCACACCCUGUACUGUUCUGUGUCUUUCACAGCUCCUCCCACAAUGCUGAAUAUACAGCAGGUGCUCAAUAAAUGAUUCUUAGUGACUUU
This 1811-nucleotide long non-coding RNA is filed under the name Homo sapiens (human). RNAcentral's name for it is "long non-coding RNA NONHSAT112228.2". The record is from RNAcentral. Lineage: Eukaryota; Metazoa; Chordata; Mammalia; Primates; Hominidae.